AGAGUUUGAUCAUGGCUCAGAACGAACGCUGGCGGCAGGCCUAACACAUGCAAGUCGAACGCUCCGCAAGGGGAGUGGCAGACGGGUGAGUAACACGUGGGAACCUACCUCGAGGUGCGGAACAACCAAGGGAAACUUUGGCUAAUACCGCAUGUGCCCUUAGGGGAAAGAUUUAUCGCCUUGGGAUGGGCCCGCGUCGGAUUAGCUAGUUGGUGUGGUAAUGGCGCACCAAGGCGACGAUCCGUAGCUGGUCUGAGAGGAUGAUCAGCCACACUGGGACUGAGACACGGCCCAGACUCCUACGGGAGGCAGCAGUGGGGAAUAUUGGACAAUGGGCGCAAGCCUGAUCCAGCCAUGCCGCGUGUGUGAUGAAGGCCUUAGGGUUGUAAAGCACUUUCGCCGAUGAAGAUAAUGACUGUAGUCGGAGAAGAAGCCCCGGCUAACUUCGUG
RNAcentral lists this ribosomal RNA (450 nucleotides) under uncultured bacterium. RNAcentral describes it as "bacterial SSU rRNA". It matches the Rfam family "Bacterial small subunit ribosomal RNA", at positions 8 to 507 of the family's 1533-position model. The record is from RNAcentral.